UACAGAGGUCUCAAGCGUUGUUCGGAUUCAUUGGGCGUAAAGGGCGCGUAGGCGGGGAGGUAAGUCGGGUGUGAAAUCCCUCGGCCCAACCGAGGAACUGCGCCCGAGACUGCUUCUCUUGAGUCCCGGAGAGGAAGAUGGAAUUCCCGGUGUAGCGGUGAAAUGUGUAGAGAUCGGGAGGAACACCGGUGGCGAAGGCGGUCUUCUGGACGGUGACUGACGCUGAGGCGCGAAAGCGUGGGGAGCAAACGGG
RNAcentral lists this ribosomal RNA (253 nucleotides) under uncultured bacterium. Its description in RNAcentral is "partial 16S ribosomal RNA". It matches the Rfam family "Bacterial small subunit ribosomal RNA", at positions 524 to 776 of the family's 1533-position model. The record is from RNAcentral.